Molecule: RNA transcript, 3091 nt
Organism: Vigna angularis (adzuki bean)
Lineage: Eukaryota; Viridiplantae; Streptophyta; Magnoliopsida; Fabales; Fabaceae
Gene name: nuclear poly(A) polymerase 4
Exons: 14
Source: RefSeq, a predicted model, not a curated record
GUUCCAUUUGCGAUUGCGCAUCAACACCAAACGCUCCCUUAACCCACCCAACCCAAACCCCAAAUCCGAAACCGUCCUAUUCCACGUUCGAAUCAGGGGCAUCUCUGAACUGGAAAAAUCAGAUGCCAGCGAUUUGAGCGAUACACUGUGAAGAAGCUGCGUAGUGCGUUUCGCUCUUCCAAAUGGCGGUUUCCGAUAGUCCAAGCGGUGCCUCCACGCCGCCUCAACAGGAACAAGCCAACAAGUACGGUUUCACGAAGCCUCUAUCUCUCGCGGGUCCCACCGACGCUGAUCUCCACCGUAACAACGAAUUGGAGAGGUUCUUGCUCGAUUCGGGGCUUUACGAGAGCAAUGAUGAGUCCGCCGCGAGGAAGGAGGUUCUUCACCGCCUCGAUCAGAUUGUGAAGAGCUGGGUGAAGCAGUUGACGCGCCAACGUGGCUACACAGAUCAGAUGGUUGAGGAUGCAAACGCAGUCAUUUUCACUUUUGGUUCUUACCGACUAGGGGUUCAUGGACCUGGAGUUGACAUUGACACUUUGUGCAUUGGUCCUUCUUAUGUGAACCGAGAGGAAGAUUUCUUCAUCAUUUUGCAUAACAUUCUGGCUGAAAUGGAAGAAGUUUCUGAACUUCAACCAGUUCCUGAUGCACAUGUUCCUGUAAUGAAAUUCAAAUUCCAGGGAAUAUCUAUAGAUUUGCUGUAUGCAAGUAUAUCACUUUUGGUUGUGCCAGAAGACCUGGAUAUCUCUCAUGGUUCAGUGCUGUAUGAUGUUGAUGAACCAACUGUUCGAAGUCUUAAUGGCUGCCGUGUGGCAGAUCAAAUUCUUAAACUUGUUCCAAAUAUUGAGCACUUUCGAACUACACUGAGAUGCUUGAAGUUUUGGGCUAAAAGACGUGGUGUUUAUUCAAAUGUUACUGGAUUCCUUGGUGGUGUAAAUUGGGCUAUUUUAGUUGCUCGAAUAUGCCAGCUUUACCCUAAUGCAAUCCCUAGUAUGUUGGUUUCCCGGUUCUUCAGGGUCUAUACACAGUGGCGAUGGCCAAACCCUGUAAUGCUAUGCUCUAUUGAAGAGAAUGAACUGGGAUUCCCUAUAUGGGAUCCUCGUAGAAAUCCCCGAGAUAGAUUUCACACUAUGCCAAUAAUUACUCCUGCAUACCCUUGCAUGAAUUCAAGUUACAAUGUCUCAGCAAGUACUCUUCGUGUCAUGAUGGAACAGUUCCGCUAUGGCAAUAAGAUUUGUGAUGAAAUUGACCUCAAUAAAGCCCAGUGGAGCGCACUUUUUCAGCCUUAUAUCUUUUUUGAGGCAUACAAAAACUAUUUACAAGUGGACAUAGUUGCAUCGGACACUGAUGAUUUACUAGCAUGGAAGGGCUGGGUAGAAUCUCGAUUGAGGCUGCUUACCCUUAAGAUAGAGCGAGAUACAAAUGGUAUGCUGCAGUGCCAUCCUUAUCCACAUGAGUAUAUAGACACAUCGAAGCCAUGUGCUCAUUCUGCAUUUUUCAUGGGCUUGCAAAGGAAAGAGGGAGUAAGAGGUCAAGAAGGACAGCAAUUUGAUAUACGUGGAACGGUUGAUGAAUUUAGACAAGAAAUAAAUAUGUAUAUCUACUGGAAGCCUGGAAUGGAAAUUUUUGUUUCUCAUGUUCGUCGAAAGCAACUUCCUGCAUUUGUUUUUCCUGAUGGUUACAAACGCACUAGAAUGCCAAGACACAUAAGCCAUCCGACCGAAAAAACAGGUGAUGAUGCCACGAAGUGCUACUCUGGAUCUGGGCCAUCUGAAAGAUGCACCAAGAGGAAAAGUUACCCUGAAAUGGUGGAAAAGAAGCCAGACAAACCAGAUAAACGGGCAUCUAUUAGCCCACAGAGGUUAGAAAGUGUUUCUCCUGAAAGUUGUACUAGUAAAUCAGGUGGUACAGCUCAAAUGAGUAUUGAUAGUAUGGAAGGGGUUUGGGUAGCUGGUUCAACAACCAAUUAUGCUAACAGCAAUUGUGAAAUUAAGUCAUCUGAUGUGCUCCCAGGAAGUGGACUAAGCUCUGUCGUAGCUGACAUGCAGAUAAGUGAACCGGGCUUUGUUGACACCACACAUGAUAUGUUGAAACCGAGGUGUGUAGAAGUUCCUAAUGAGAAUGGAGUUGUCGAUGGGGACAAAGCUCAGGAUCUGGCUUUAGAUUGCUUGGAAAGUGAAGAAACCGAAUCUACUAACAAUUUUUCGAACUGUAAAGCGGGUGUCGUCGAUAUGGAUCAGCAACUAGACAAAGCAUGUAAUUUCAUCACAAGGGAUGAAUGCUCAGAUUAUGUACCAAAUGCCAGCUCCCAGAACCUCAGUUGCGAGGGUGAUGUUUGUGUGGCUGUUCCAGAUCAGUUCUGAAGAGAGUGGGUGUUUUCUUGGAAAUAGAGUAUUUCAAAAUAUCAGGGCUCAAGAAUAUAAGAUUUCAGACUCAGAAGUGUUGUAAAAUUGAAGAUGGGCUAGGUGGACGAGUUUGGACUGAAUCCCAUGAUGUUUGAGAGGGUUAAUGGCUGAAAUUCCUGUCACGCUGCUACCCUGUGCAUUGUUGGUGGCUGUUGCUGUGCUGAGAUCCUGUGAGCGGGACUAAGGCUGUAAUAGAACAGUGAGAAAAGAUACAACAAAUGAUGGCAGUGAAAGAGAUUGGGGUUUGGGGUAUAUGGCAUUGCGAUGAUCGUUUCUGUACAUAGAUGAACAGCAUGACGGAGACUCUUAAAUUGUGGUCUCGUCCUGUUGUGUGAAACAUGCGCUCAUCUCAUCUUCAGAGCUCUGAAUUGUCUCAUAAACCUUAACAUAUCUACUUGGAUUUUAAAGGAGUGGGAACUUUGUAUUUUGCUUGUGACGUAGAUGUGAUCGAUACGUUAUGUAAAUGUGAAAAAUGGCUACUUCGGCUAGGUUAUUUAGAAGAGAAAGUGGUAAAACAAAAAUAUAUUGGCGGCAGAAUGGGGGUAGUCUUCCUUGUUUAUCCUUUCUUCGAAGUUUCGGUGGGAGGUUCCUUCUGUUUAUUGCGUUUCGUUGGUCUUUCAAUUUAGUGAAAACACUUUAUCUUGUGAAAAUGGUUUCUUUCAUUAGUGCUCUUACAUGGCUUUCUUUUA